This 492-nucleotide ribosomal RNA is filed under the name uncultured bacterium. RNAcentral's name for it is "partial 16S ribosomal RNA". It matches the Rfam family "Bacterial small subunit ribosomal RNA", at positions 29 to 507 of the family's 1533-position model. The record is from RNAcentral.
AGUGAACGCUGGCGGUAGGCCUAACACAUGCAAGUCGAACGGCAGCACAGUAAGAGCUUGCUCUUACGGGUGGCGAGUGGCGGACGGGUGAGGAAUACAUCGGAAUCUACUUUUUCGUGGGGGAUAACGUAGGGAAACUUACGCUAAUACCGCAUACGACCUACGGGUGAAAGCAGGGGAUCUUCGGACCUUGCGCGAUUGAAUGAGCUGAUGUCGGAUUAGCUAGUUGGCGGGGUAAAGGCCCACCAAGGCGACGAUCCGUAGCUGGUCUGAGAGGAUGAUCAGCCACACUGGAACUGAGACACGGUCCAGACUCCUACGGGAGGCAGCAGUGGGGAAUAUUGGACAAUGGGCGCAAGCCUGAUCCAGCCAUACCGCGUGGGUGAAGAAGGCCUUCGGGUUGUAAAGCCCUUUUGUUGGGAAAGAAAAGCAGCAGGUUAAUACCCCGCUGUUCUGACGGUACCCAAGGAAUAAGCACCGGCUAACUUCGUG